UACGUAGGGUGCGAGCGUUACUCGGAAUUACUGGGCGUAAAGCGUGCGCAGGCGGUUUUGUAAGCCAGAUGUGAAAUCCCCGGGCUUAACCUGGGAAUGGCAUUCGGGACUGCAAGGCUGGAGUGUGGCAGAGGAGACUGGAAUUCCUGGUGUAGCAGUGAAAUGCGUAGAUAUCAGGAGGAAUACCGAUGGCGAAGGCAGGUCUCUGGGCUGACACUGACGCUCAUGCACGAAAGCGUGGGGAGCAAACAGG
RNAcentral lists this ribosomal RNA (253 nucleotides) under uncultured bacterium. Its description in RNAcentral is "partial 16S ribosomal RNA". It matches the Rfam family "Bacterial small subunit ribosomal RNA", at positions 524 to 776 of the family's 1533-position model. The record is from RNAcentral.